Molecule: ribosomal RNA, 505 nt
Filed under: uncultured bacterium
Lineage: Bacteria
Description: partial 16S ribosomal RNA
Rfam family: Bacterial small subunit ribosomal RNA
Source: RNAcentral
GACGAACGCUGGCGGCGUGCCUAAUACAUGCAAGUAGAACGCACAGUUUAUACCGUAGCUUGCUACACCAUAAACUGUGAGUUGCGAACGGGUGAGUAACGCGUAGGUAACCUGCCUGGUAGCGGGGGAUAACUAUUGGAAACGAUAGCUAAUACCGCAUAAUAUUAAUUAUUGCAUGAUAAUUGAUUGAAAGAUGCAAUUGCAUCACUACCAGAUGGACCUGCGUUGUAUUAGCUAGUAGGUGAGGUAACGGCUCACCUAGGCGACGAUACAUAGCCGACCUGAGAGGGUGAUCGGCCACACUGGGACUGAGACACGGCCCAGACUCCUACGGGAGGCAGCAGUAGGGAAUCUUCGGCAAUGGACGAAAGUCUGACCGGGCAACGCCGCGUGAGUGAAGAAGGUUUUCGGAUCGUAAAGCUCUGUUGUAAGAGAAGAACGGGUGUGAGAGUGGAAAGUUCACACUGUGACGGUAUCUUACCAGAAAGGGACGGCUAACUACGUG